RNA transcript from Labeo rohita (rohu), 8883 nucleotides. It is a transcript of the gene named potassium voltage-gated channel, Shaw-related subfamily, member 3b, with no coding region annotated. The record is from RefSeq and is a predicted model, not a curated record. Lineage: Eukaryota; Metazoa; Chordata; Actinopteri; Cypriniformes; Cyprinidae. The transcript has 7 exons.
GUUAAGCAGUUAAAGAACCUUGGCCCAUAUUCAGUUUAACAGCUGUAGCUGCAAUAUUUCAGUCUAGGAUUGCAGCUCUUGUGUCUGUUGACUAUCACAUGAAGAUGUCACUGCUCAUCUGCGCUGUUGCCGCUAAUCGUUUCUGUGUCUCUCUCUGUUCAGACGCUCUUUGCUGUAAUUGCUGUUAAACUUGAGAAAGAGCUGAGCUCUCAGAUGCAGAGGUGAGGAAGGGGUUACACUUGCUGUAAGACGAUACACUUCCCUCAUUUAGCAACUUUGACCUUUCACUCAAUUACUAUUUCUUAUAAAUCCCACAUUUCUCAGUCUCUGGUUAUGCAGACCUAGAUUUCGGUUUUACAGACGCCGUCUGUUUGCAACUCUAGGACAGCGGUAUGAGAUUUUCAAUACUAAAGACCGCUCCUCUCUCCUCCCCUCUCGGUUUUUUCUCCUCCUCUCCCUCCCCUAUGCUCAGUUCGGUGUGUGUCUCCUCAUUCAAAGGGCGCAAGGGUGGGAACAAGUCGUCCAACAAAGCAUGUUACAGCGCCGACAUGACUUGCCCGUCGGAAAGCGAGAAAAUCGUCAUCAACUGCGGCGGCGUGAGGCACGAGACGUACCGGAGCACCCUGAAGACGCUGCCCGGGACGCGUCUGUCGUGGCUCACUGAGCCGGACGCCUUCAGCAACUUCGACUACGACCCGAAGUCCGACGAGUUCUUCUUCGACCGGCACCCGUCCGUCUUCUCGUUCAUCCUCAACUACUACCGGACGGGCAAGUUGCACUGCCCCAACGACGUGUGCGGCCCGCUGUUCGAAGAGGAGCUCGCCUUCUGGGGCAUCGACGAGACCGACGUGGAGGCGUGUUGCUGGAUGAACUACCGGCAGCACCGGGACGCGGAGGAGGCGCUGGACAGCUUCGAGACGCCCGAGCCGGAGGUGCCGGACGACGACCCGGCGCUCGCAGGGGACGGAGACCUGAAGCGGCUUUGCCUGCAAGAGGACAACAGGAAAGUGGGCUGGUGGCGCGUUUGGCAACCCCGGAUCUGGGCGCUCUUCGAGGACCCCUAUUCGUCCAAAUACGCGCGGUAUGUGGCGUUCGGAUCCCUUCUGUUCAUCCUCAUCUCCAUUUCCACCUUCUGCAUGGAGACGCACGAAGCGUUCAACACCAUCUACAACAAAACAGAGAACAUUACGGAGGGGAACGUGACGAGAGAGGAGAUCGUGUAUGAGGUUGUGACGGACAGCUGGCUGACGUACGUGGAGGGAGUGUGCGUAAUCUGGUUCACCAUCGAGGUGUUCACGCGCAUCGUCUUCUGUCCCAACAAGGUGGAGUUCUUCAAGAACGCGCUGAACAUCAUCGACUUCGUGGCGAUCCUGCCUUUCUACCUGGAGGUCAGUCUGAGCGGACUCUCCUCCAAAGCAGCAAAAGACGUGUUGGGCUUCCUGCGAGUGGUGCGGUUCGUCCGAAUCUUGCGUAUCUUCAAGCUGACGCGCCACUUCGUGGGCUUGCGCGUUCUUGGGCACACACUUCGCGCAAGUACCAACGAGUUCCUCCUGCUCAUCAUUUUCCUCGCCCUCGGCGUCCUCAUCUUCGCCACCAUGAUUUACUACGCCGAGAGGAUAGGAGCCAGUCCGGACGACCCUACGGCGAGCGCGCACACCACCUUCAAGAACAUCCCCAUUGGUUUCUGGUGGGCCGUGGUGACCAUGACCACCUUAGGCUAUGGAGAUAUGUAUCCGGAGACAUGGUCGGGCAUGCUGGUGGGGGCGCUGUGUGCCCUCGCGGGUGUGCUGACUAUUGCCAUGCCUGUGCCCGUCAUUGUUAACAACUUCGGCAUGUAUUACUCUCUGGCCAUGGCCAAGCAAAAGCUGCCUAAAAAGAAGAACAAACACAUCCCACGAGCCCCACAACCCGGCUCACCCAAUUACUGCAAGCCGGAUGCCCUUGCCAUGGCGACGGCCUCGCCCCAGAGAAUCCUGGGUAACGUGCUGGGCGGCGUGCUGGGCUCAAGCGGGCUGACAGGGGACUGUCCUCUUGCUCAGGAGGAGAUCAUAGAGAUUAACAGAGACUCGAAGCAGAACGGUGACGCAGCCAGCGCCGCUCUAGCAAACGAGGACUGUCCAACAAUCGAUCAGGUUCUUAGUCCAGACGAGCGCAGCCCAGUGGGCCGAACACAAGAACGGUACCAGCAGGACAGAGCCUGCUUCCUCCUCAACACGCGAGAGUUUCGACCCACUGAUGGGAAUGUGCGGAAAGACAGACACUGGGAUAUUUGGACAGACUCACAGACAGACUGACAUUGAGAAGGCCGUCAGUGCAGCGCCAGAGUUUCUAAUGCGUGACUGUGGUGUUAAGUUUCUAGCAUUUGGCAAUUCUUUUAAGGAGACAUGGUUAGUCGCUGAAUCCUGAAAAUUUUGCCGAUGGGGCCGUACCAUCCACACGGGACAAGUGAGGAAUGUCGGAGUGGCAAGAGGGUGUGACUGGAAAAAACACGAAAAAAAAAGAAAAACAAGGAAACUGGAAUUUUUCCGAGGCCAGAUCUUCACACGGUAACCAAAGCAACCUCACCGAAAUUCCGGAUCACUCCUCUUUCUACAGACUGACUGACUUUACAGCAACAAAAACCGAACAUUGCACUGACACCUGAAAGAGAAAAAAGUCUCUUGAAGGAACGAACGGAAAACAUUCCAAUGUUUUAAGAUCAAAACACCAGGCGUUUUGACUGCCGCACUCACCUGGGCUCUGAGUUUCUGUAUAUUAAUCUAUAUGUAAGAAUGAAGGACUAAGUUAGAAUAAUUAUGUAGCAUUUCUGCUAAGACCCUGUAGCAUUUCUUGGCUGGGAGAACUCUCCGACAGACUUUUUACAGACUGAUAUUUCAUUGACCGUUUGCACAGAAUGACUAAAAAUAGCUUAGUCAUGCACAAUUUUUCUUGUUUUCUUCCCCCACUCAGCAUAUUAGCAGCGAAAUGUGUUGUCUGUGCAUUGCCGUGUGGUAGUUCCCACUCCCCGUCCGAGUCUUAGAGUAGCUUUUCUUUGUGAAUGAAUCUAGAGCACUGAAAAGUGAAAACGCAGCACUCUGCUUUGGUAAGAGACGUACGUUGCUAUUCCCAAACAGUCUUCCAGUUUUUUUCCCGAGCGCUCGGGGGAGGCAACAUCGAAAACAGUCCCGACAGACCAAAGCCCAACUGUGACCAAAUAAUGUACGAAAGCUAAAAUGGCACAAAAUAAGACGUUCCCUGUCAGAUCUGAACUUUUCGUCCCUUUAAAUAUGAACGGAUUGGCUGCUCUGCCAGGGGUGCUGUUUGUAAUUCCCAAAAAUGCCCUUAAAUUGGGACUUUUUUCUCGUUCCUGAUUAUAGAGAUUUAUUUUGUGAUUUCUUUAGUAGAGCUGAUGCUGCCAGUGAUUAUAUACAUGCACAUGCGAGUGCUUGGACCAAUAACAAGCGGAAGUUUGUUUUUUCUUCGUGGAAAGAGGGUAUAAAGGUCAGGGAAAUCUCUUAAAAUCUCCCUUCCUAAAAUCGUCUAUGUCUAAAACUGCCUUUUCAGAGUUCCCUACGUCUCUGUCUUGUAUUCUCUCCUAUUGGCUUGACAGCGUCGUUCCUUCUCAACUAAUCAGAGGGAGCGCGGAAGGUCACGCCAAACGAAUCAAGAAGAAUAAAUGUACAAAAAAAGAACAAAUUUAUAUUUUGAUAAGUAGUUGCAAAAACAUCUCCAUGGUUCACGAGGAACGCGACUGUAAAAAUGCAACGCCGACCACCCUACGAACAGCCGCCGACUUAUACAAAAAAAAGGGCGAAAGAAAAAAUAUUAACGCGCUCUUUUGAGGGGGAGGGCGCUAAAACAGAAGAGGUCGUUUCCUCGGACUGAACUGUGAGAAAAUGGAUGUCAAAAUAUAUGAGAAAAAAAAAACUAAUGAAAAAAAAAAUACUACUUGGAAAGAAAAAAAAUAAAAAAUGCAUUUUUGUAACUUUGUUUACCAGCAUGAGAACUUUGCAUGACUGUAUUUUCUGCUAGCCCUUAGUUGAAGUGGGGAGGGCUAGAAUAAUAAUUAAAAAAAAAAGAUAUUAAUAAUAAAGAUGUUAAUAAAAAUAAAUAAAUAAAUAAAUAAAAAAACAUGAUAUGCAAUGGAUAUUUAGAAAAAAUAAUAUAUUUAAAAGAGCUAUAUUUUGUUUUGAAAUAGGAAAAAAAGAAAUGUGAAUAAAUUCUGACUGCGAGUUACACACUGAACAGUUUUAUUAGUUUAAGGUUUAAAAAACAAAAAAUGCCACCAAAAGCGAUUCUGCUACAUACUGCCCCAUGUUACAUUCUCGUUCGGUUUCAUUUCUUCCAUCGAAACGCCGCCUGGACUGUAUAUUUUGGUUGCGUGACACUCUCUAAUGUUUGUCUGCGCACAGCAUUAGUUCCCUCUGUAGCCACGAUAACAACUGUGCUGAUGCUAGAAUCCUCCGUAUAAGCGGGAUAUGGCGUCUUUUCCCACGUGCGUUGGGGCUGAUAGUGUUUCAUUCUCGCUUUGAGUUCACCUGCUCUCAUUGGCAAUAAUACGAACGAUAAUCCAGAGAUCUGCUCGAUUGAGAUUGUAGCAAGGCAAAGUGGAGACUCGUAUCAGUCUCAGCGUCUUCCUUACGAACGGAUGCAGUGUGGAAAACUGUGUUUUUGUAGAGAUGCCAUGUGUCUCUAAUCUCAGGUGAAAAAUGUGAAUGCUCAGUUCCGCACCGGACCUCUGCCUGCCCGUGCAGCUAUUUCUCAUUUUCAUCUCGUCUGAUUAUUUUCAAGAUCCGAUGAAAGGCAUUUUGCUGUAUUUCCUGUUUAAACAGGAAGUUAGGACACAGGCCUCAUCCCUGGCCAAUAGUCUUUAACCGUUAGCUUAGCAAAAUCAAAGCUGAUAGCUUAUACAAUGGGCGAAUGCAAUGAAAACACUUGAUUUUAAAUGUUAUAUAUGUCAUUCUGUAAUAUCAGCUACAGAAUUAAAAUUUCUAACGUUAAUCGUGCUAAUUUUAUGUCUUAAAAUCACCAUAGUUUCAUCUUUCUGUUUAUCAUAUAAGUUGUUCUGUGUCUCAAGACACCUUUAGCGUCUUUAAACCUUAAGCAGUUAGCUUCAGGCUGGUACAAAACAUCACAGAUGAGUUAAAAGUUAAUCUGUUAUUCUGUCAUAUAAGAUGCAGAAUUUAAAUGGAUAACUCUAAUCAUGCUAAUUUGGUGUCCUGAAAUCUUAAGUUUUAGCCAACUUGUUCAUAGAACUUUUUUUUAUUUUAGGACACCUAGCUAAACCUUUACCAAUUAGCUAAUGCGAAGCAUCACAGUUGAGUUAAAUGUGUUAUUCUAAUGCUACAGAAUUAAAAUAGCUAACUUGGAUCAUGUUCAUUUGGUGUCCUGAAAUGUUUUACACAACAUAUUUUAUCAAAAAACAAAGUUGUCUUUAGUUCUCAGGACACUAGGUUAGAGUUAAACCCUUAGCAUUUAGCUUAAUGCUAAUAUGAUAAUCACAGUUCAGUUAAAUGUGUUUAUCUGUUAUGCUGUAAUACUGGCUACAGAAUCAAAAUCAUGUUAAUUUGGUGUCCUGAAAAGUUCAGUUUUACAAAACUUGUUUAUCAUAUGUUGUUUUUGUGUCUCAAGACACCAGGCCAAAAGGCCAGUUAGUUUCAGGCUAAUGCAAAAUAUCACAGCUGAGCUAAAUCUGUUAUUCUGUAAUAGGUUACAGAGUUAAAAUGGCUAACUUUAACCAUGUUAAUCUGGUGUCCUAUAUUCUUAAGUUUUACACAAUUUGUUAUAGAAGUUGUUGGCUGAAGUUCAACUUUUAGCAGUUAGCAUUAGGCUAAUGCAAAACGUUGCAACUGAGUUAAAUGUGUUAUUCUAAUGCUACAGAAUUAAAAUCAUGUUCAUUUGGUGUCCUGAAAUGUUUUACACAACAUACUUUAUCCUAGAAGUGUUUUUGCUUCUCAGGACACCAGGUUAAAGCUAAACCUUUAGCAUUUAGCUGUUAAUACAGAAGUUACAGUAGAGUUAAAUGUGUUUAACUGUUAUUUUACAGAAUUAAAAUCAUGCUAAUCUGGUGUCCUAAAAAGUUCAGAUUUACACAACUUGUUUAUCAUAGAAGUUGUUUUUGUAUCUUAGGACACCAAGCUAAAUCUAAGCGAUUAGCUUCCCAGAUAGCACACAUACGUCUGCAAGAUGUCAGUUAAAGAUCACUUGAUCUGCCCUGGUGAAAAAACCAGCAUAUGCUGGUUAUGUAGGUUUUGAUGCUGGUUUAAGCUGGUCCUUUGCUGGUUUAUGCUGGUCCUUAGCUGGUUUAAGCUGGUCCUUUGCUGGUUUUUUCUGGUUAUGUUGCUGGUCAAGGACCAGCAUGAACCAGCAAAGGACCAGCUUAAACCAGCAUCAAAACCUACAUAACCAGCAUCCCAGCAUCAAAACAUACCUACCAGCAUAUGCUGGUUUUUUCACCAGGGUGGAAACCAUCUGCUGUGUACAAACAUCUGACAGAUGUCUGUAAGAUGUCAGUUUUACAUACAUCUUAUAGACAUCUAAUAGACAUCUAUUUGACAUCUGACAAAAUACGUCCUGUAGACUUAUUGCAGAUGAGCAAACAAUCUAAAAAAUACAUCUUGCAGAUGUAAAUGCAGACAUCAGAUAGACGUCUCUGAGAUGUACAUGUGCUAUCAGGGUUUAGACUAAUGUAAAAAAAAAAUCACAGUUGAAUUUUUGUGUAAUGCAGGCUAAAAAUUGCUAACCAUGGUCCUGAAAUCUUCAGUUUUACCUAGUUUGUAUAUCAUAGAACCUUUUUUUGUAUCUCAGGACACUAGGCUGAAGCUAAACCUUUAGCAAUUAGCAACCCUGGUGAAAAAAACAGCAUAUGCUGGUAGGUAUGUUUUGAUGCUGGAAUGCAGGUUAGGUAGGUUUUGAUGGUGGUUUAUGCUGGUCCUUAGCUGGUUUAAGCUGGUCCUUUGCUGGUUUUUGCUGGUCAUGUUGCUGGUCGAGGACCAGCACGAACCAGCAAAGGACCAGCAUAAACCAGCAUCAAAACAUACCUAACCAGCAUAUGCUGUUUUUUUCACCAGGGAAAACAUCACAGUUGAGUUAAAUGUGUUAUUCUAAUGUUACAGAAUUAAAAUAGCUAACUCAUGUUCAUUUAGUGUUCUGAAAUGUUCAGUUUCACACACGUUUAUCCUAAAAGUUUUUGGUUUUCAGGACACCAGGCUAAACCUUUAACAUUCAGCUUUAUGCUAAUACAAAAAUCACAGUAGAGUGUUUAUCUCUUAGCCUAAUAUUGACUACAGAAUUAAAAUCAUACAAAUUUGGUGUCCUGAAAAGUUCAGUUUUACACAACAUGUUCAUCACAGAAGUUUCUCAGGACACGACGUUGAAGUUAAAUCUAAGCGAUUAGCUUAAGCUAAUGCGAAACAUCUCAGCUAAGUUAUUGUGUAAUACAGGCUACAAAAUGGCUAACCAUGCUAAUGGUGUCCUAAAUAUUCAGUUUUACACAGAAGAUGUUGUUUUUGCUUCUCAUGACACCAGUUUAAAGCUUUAGCGUUUAUAGUUUAAGUCUAAUGUAAAACAUUGCCGUAAGGUUAAGUGUGUUUAUCUGUUUAUCAUAAAUAUUAUUUUUGGUCCUAAGGACUUGAGGCUUAGCUUUUGCCUCAGAUGGGGCUCAGUAGCAUAGCAUGGUAGCACUGCAGCUAAUCUGUUAGCGUUUAACACAAGGGCAUACAAACUUCAUAUCAUUCAAGAUUAGCGAGAGUCCUAUGCAAGACGCGUUAGCUAUAGGCUUACGUUACAUGACAGGCGAAUCACAUGAAUCAUGUAUUUUCAGUAUUUAAUCAAUUUAAGUCAUGUGUACUUUUUUAAUGACAGGGCAGAUAGAAGAUAAAAUAUGGACGCAGCCAGUUGGCCUUGAAAAAGGAGCUUGACUGUCUUGUCACUGAUAUUGCAGAUGAAAAGCAUCCGCUAAUUAGCAAGUCAACAGAAAUGACGGAAAGGACAGAACGAAGUGAAUAUGAGAAACGGCGGCGGUUCGAGCAGGCCGCGGUCCGGUGUCUGGUGUGAGGGACGGUUUGUGAUAUUUUCGGGUGUGCUGAUAUCAUCGGCUUCUGAUAUAUGGUGGAAGUGGACAUGCGACCUUUAGGGGAAAGACAAUAUGACACAGCGUAUAUUUUCGAAACCUUACCAAGCGAAAACGAGAUGUCUCGACCGGUGCUGGGUCACUGGGUCCGUUCCCAGCCCAGAAUAAAACCUUACUCUUAUAGCCCAAAUAGGUCUUUGUGUUUUUUCAAAGUUGUGCAUAUUUCUAGUUUUAUAACUGCUUUUGUUUAUAAUUAUCGAUUUAUUGAAUCAUUUAUAUUUUAUACAGAGUUGAUUUUUUGUUCCAUUUCGUUCCAUUUCGAAGAUUGUUCAUAUUUUUUACGACCGUGAUCACUUUGUUGUCGUUCGCUACGAAGAUAAAAAAGAGCCUGUGCUUGGUUUUAUUUUAGAAGGCAUUAAGACCACUCUGGUCCAGGGGUCACAAAGUAACGCUGAAUAAAUAUUUUAAAGCGACAGCAUGCUUCAAGCAGGACGCAUAUCCACACAGUCUAAUUUAGUUUUAUUCUCAAACAUGUUGGUUUUGUUUUCAGGACAAGCUGAGCUUGUCUUCUCCGUCUUUUCACGCACAUUGACGCGCACUGCCCUCUUAAGAUGAUUUGGAAUGGUAGCUCUGUCUGCAUCUAAUUCUUCUUGUUCGAUUUACUGUGCCUGCUCUUGUAUCCAAUGUCAGUUCGAUCACCCGUUUCUUGUGUAUUAAGUUUGAUUUGAUGUACUUGAAUUACAGAUAUGCAAUCACCACCUCUCUGACCACUGCCAAUCAUCCCGAUCAAUCAACAUGAUCAGUAAUCAAUAUGAUUAAAGUGAUUAACAACC